RNAcentral lists this ribosomal RNA (468 nucleotides) under uncultured bacterium. RNAcentral describes it as "partial 16S ribosomal RNA". It matches the Rfam family "Bacterial small subunit ribosomal RNA", at positions 28 to 507 of the family's 1533-position model. The record is from RNAcentral.
GACGAACGCUGGCGGCGUGCUUAACACAUGCAAGUCGAACGGAAAGGCCCUGCUUUUGUGGGGUGCUCGAGUGGCGAACGGGUGAGUAACACGUGAGUAACCUGCCCUUGACUUUGGGAUAACUUCAGGAAACUGGGGCUAAUACCGGAUAGGAGCUCCUGCUGCAUGGUGGGGGUUGGAAAGUUUCGGCGGUUGGGGAUGGACUCGCGGCUUAUCAGCUUGUUGGUGGGGUAGUGGCUUACCAAGGCUUUGACGGGUAGCCGGCCUGAGAGGGUGACCGGCCACAUUGGGACUGAGAUACGGACCAGACUCCUACGGGAGGCAGCAGGGGGGAAUAUUGCACAAUGGGCGGAAGCCUGAUGCAGCAACGCUGCGUGCGGGAUGACGGCCUUCGGGGUGUAAACCGCUUUCGCCUGUGACGAAGCGUGAGUGACGGUAAUGGGUAAAGAAGCACCGGCUAACUACGUG